AUUGAACGCUGGCGGCAUGCCUUACACAUGCAAGUCGAACGGCAGCGGGGGAGAAGCUUGCUUUUCCUGCCGGCGAGUGGCGAACGGGUGAGUAAUACAUCGGAACGUGCCCUGUAGUGGGGGAUAACUAGUCGAAAGAUUAGCUAAUACCGCAUACGACCUGAGGGUGAAAGUGGGGGACCGCAAGGCCUCAUGCUAUAGGAGCGGCCGAUGUCUGAUUAGCUAGUUGGUGGGGUAAAGGCCUACCAAGGCGACGAUCAGUAGCUGGGCUGAGAGGACGAUCAGCCACACUGGGACUGAGACACGGCCCAGACUCCUACGGGAGUCAGCAGUGGGGAAUUUUGGACAAUGGGCGAAAGCCUGAUCCAGCAAUGCCGCGUGUGUGAAGAAGGCCUUCGGGUUGUAAAGCACUUUUGUCCGGAAAGAAAUGGCUCUGGUUAAUACCUGGGGUCGAUGACGGUACCGGAAGAAUAAGGACCGGCUAACUACGUGCCAGCCGCCGCCGUAA
RNAcentral lists this ribosomal RNA (508 nucleotides) under uncultured bacterium. RNAcentral describes it as "partial 16S ribosomal RNA". It matches the Rfam family "Bacterial small subunit ribosomal RNA", at positions 30 to 523 of the family's 1533-position model. The record is from RNAcentral.